AGUGAACGCUGGCGGUAGGCUUAACACAUGCAAGUCGAACGGAAGCACCGUAAGUGCUUGCUCUUAUGGGUGGAGAGUGGUGGACGGCUGAGGAAUACCUCGGAAUCUACUUUUUCGCGGGGGAUAUAGUAGGGAAACUUACGCUAUUACCGCAUACGACCUACGGGUGAAGGCUGGGGAUCUUCGGACCUUGCGCGAUUGUAUGAGCCGAUGUCGGAGUAGCAAGUUGGCGGGGUGGAGGCCUACUAAGGCGACGAUCCGUAGCGGGUCCGAGAGGGUGAUGAGCCACACUGGGACUGAGACACGGUCCAGACUCCGACGGGAGGCAGCAGUGGGGAAUAUUGGUCAUGGGGCGCAAGCCUGAUCCAGCCAUACCGCGUGGGUGAAGAAGACCUUCGGGUUGUGAAGCCCAUUUGUUGGGAAAGAAAAGCAGCAGAUUAAUACCCCGCGGUUCUGACGGUACCCAAAGAAGAAGCACCGGCUAACUUCGUG
This 492-nucleotide ribosomal RNA is filed under the name uncultured bacterium. RNAcentral describes it as "partial 16S ribosomal RNA". It matches the Rfam family "Bacterial small subunit ribosomal RNA", at positions 29 to 507 of the family's 1533-position model. The record is from RNAcentral.